RNAcentral lists this ribosomal RNA (1092 nucleotides) under Neonectria neomacrospora. RNAcentral describes it as "SSU rRNA". It matches the Rfam family "Eukaryotic small subunit ribosomal RNA", at positions 39 to 1142 of the family's 1831-position model. Lineage: Eukaryota; Fungi; Ascomycota; Sordariomycetes; Hypocreales; Nectriaceae. The record is from RNAcentral.
AAAGAUUAAGCCAUGCAUGUCUAAGUAUAAGCAAUUAUACUGCGAAACUGCGAAUGGCUCAUUAUAUAAGUUAUCGUUUAUUUGAUAGUACCUUACUACUUGGAUAACCGUGGUAAUUCUAGAGCUAAUACAUGCUAAAAAUCCCGACUUCGGAAGGGAUGUAUUUAUUAGAUUAAAAACCAAUGCCCUUCGGGGCUCCUUGGUGAUUCAUGAUAACUGCUCGAAUCGCAUGGCCUUGUGCCGGCGAUGGCUCAUUCAAAUUUCUUCCCUAUCAACUUUCGAUGUUUGGGUAUUGGCCAAACAUGGUUGCAACGGGUAACGGAGGGUUAGGGCUCGACCCCGGAGAAGGAGCCUGAGAAACGGCUACUACAUCCAAGGAAGGCAGCAGGCGCGCAAAUUACCCAAUCCCGACACGGGGAGGUAGUGACAAUAAAUACUGAUACAGGGCUCUUUUGGGUCUUGUAAUUGGAAUGAGUACAAUUUAAAUCCCUUAACGAGGAACAAUUGGAGGGCAAGUCUGGUGCCAGCAGCCGCGGUAAUUCCAGCUCCAAUAGCGUAUAUUAAAGUUGUUGUGGUUAAAAAGCUCGUAGUUGAACCUUGGGCCUGGCUGGCCGGUCCGCCUCACCGCGUGUACUGGUCCGGCCGGGCCUUUCCCUCUGUGGAACCCCAUGCCCUUCACUGGGUGUGGCGGGGAAACAGGACUUUUACUUUGAAAAAAUUAGAGUGCUCCAGGCAGGCCUAUGCUCGAAUACAUUAGCAUGGAAUAAUAGAAUAGGACGUGUGGUUCUAUUUUGUUGGUUUCUAGGACCGCCGUAAUGAUUAAUAGGGACAGUCGGGGGCAUCAGUAUUCAAUUGUCAGAGGUGAAAUUCUUGGAUUUAUUGAAGACUAACUACUGCGAAAGCAUUUGCCAAGGAUGUUUUCAUUAAUCAGGAACGAAAGUUAGGGGAUCGAAGACGAUCAGAUACCGUCGUAGUCUUAACCAUAAACUAUGCCGACUAGGGAUCGGACGAUGUUAUUUUUUGACUCGUUCGGCACCUUACGAGAAAUCAAAGUGCUUGGGCUCCAGGGGGAGUAUGGUCGCAAGGCUGAAA